This 253-nucleotide ribosomal RNA is filed under the name uncultured bacterium. RNAcentral describes it as "partial 16S ribosomal RNA". It matches the Rfam family "Bacterial small subunit ribosomal RNA", at positions 524 to 776 of the family's 1533-position model. The record is from RNAcentral.
UACGGAGGGUGCAAGCGUUAUCCGGAUUCACUGGGCUUAAAGGGCGCGUAGGCGGGCUGGUAAGUCAGUGGUGAAAUCUCCAGGCUUAACUUGGAAACUGCCAUUGAUACUAUCAAUCUUGAAUACCGUGGAGGUCAGCGGAAUAUGUCAUGUAGCGGUGAAAUGCUUAGAUAUGACAUAGAACACCAAUUGCGAAGGCAGCUGGCUACACGAAUAUUGACACUGAUGCACGAAAGCGUGGGGAGCAAACAGG